This 474-nucleotide ribosomal RNA is filed under the name fungal endophyte sp. ECD-2008. RNAcentral describes it as "eukaryotic LSU rRNA". The stretch from base 152 to 305 matches the Rfam family "5.8S ribosomal RNA". Lineage: Eukaryota; Fungi. The record is from RNAcentral.
AACCUGCGGAGGGAUCAUUAGAGAGUAUAAAAACUCCCAACCCAUGUGAACAUACCUACGUUGCCUCGGCGGGGGCCUAAACCCCCCCCCGCCGUGGCCCAGUAAACUCUGUUUUAUUCUGAAAUUCUGAAUCUUAAAGCAAAUAAGUUAAAACUUUCAACAACGGAUCUCUUGGUUCUGGCAUCGAUGAAGAACGCAGCGAAAUGCGAUAAGUAAUGUGAAUUGCAGAAUUCAGUGAAUCAUCGAAUCUUUGAACGCACAUUGCGCCCAUUAGUAUUCUAGUGGGCAUGCCUGUUCGAGCGUCAUUAAUACCAUUAAGCCCUGUAGCUUAGCGUUGGGAGCCUGCGGCUGCAGCUCCUCAAAACUAGUGGCGGAGUCAGCGUAUACUCUAGGCGUAGUAAUAACCCACUCGCUUCUGCGUUGCGCUGGCGCCUGCCGUAAAACAACCCAUUUCUAAAGGUUGACCUCGGAUCA